GGAGUUGUUUUGCUCGAGAAAUAGACGGAAGUGACCGUUUACAUAUAGUUUUAGAUGACAGUUAUUACUUACACGCAUCAUCUAAAAUGCGAGAGAUACAAGGCAGAUUUGGUCGUUAUAAAUUUUAAA
Molecule: long non-coding RNA, 129 nt
Organism: Schistocerca gregaria
Lineage: Eukaryota; Metazoa; Arthropoda; Insecta; Orthoptera; Acrididae
Exons: 2
Source: RefSeq, a predicted model, not a curated record